GAUGAACGCUGGCGGCGUGCCUAAUACAUGCAAGUCGAGCGAACAGACGAGGAUCUUGCUCCUCUUACGUUAUCGGCGGACGGGUGAGUAACACGUGGAUAACCUACCUAUAAGACUGGGAUAACUUCGGGAAACCGGAGCUAAUACCGGAUAAUAUAUUGAACCGCAUGGUUCAAUAGUGAAAGACGGUUUUGCUGUCACUUAUAGAUGGAUCCGCGCCGCAUUAGCUAGUUGGUAAGGUAACGGCUUACCAAGGCAACGAUGCGUAGCCGACCUGAGAGGGUGAUCGGCGACACUGGAACUGAGACACGGUCCAGACUCCUACGGGAGGGAGCAGUAGGGAAUCGGCAGAAAUGGGCGAAAGCCUGACGGAGCAACGGCGCGGGAGUGAUGAAGAUCUUCGGAUCGUAAAACUCUGUUAUUAGGGAAGAACAAAUGUGUAAGUAACUAUGCACGUCUUGACGGUACCGAAUCAGAAAGCCACGGCUAACUACGUG
RNAcentral lists this ribosomal RNA (497 nucleotides) under uncultured bacterium. RNAcentral's name for it is "partial 16S ribosomal RNA". It matches the Rfam family "Bacterial small subunit ribosomal RNA", at positions 28 to 507 of the family's 1533-position model. The record is from RNAcentral.